AACAAGUGAAAGGCUGGAAAAGUAAAUAAAACACGGCAGAUUCUGUCAUUUCUAUUUGGAUGGAACUUCAACACAUGUGGUAUCUUCAUCAAACUUUUUAACCUCCUGGAGGCACAUAGAGAUACAAUACUGCUGAGCAUUUGGUGACUGACAUAACAAAUAAAGAAAAUGUGAUGGAAGC
This 181-nucleotide long non-coding RNA is filed under the name Cyanistes caeruleus (blue tit). RNAcentral's name for it is "lncRNA (ENSCCEG00000019387.1)". The record is from RNAcentral. Lineage: Eukaryota; Metazoa; Chordata; Aves; Passeriformes; Paridae.